This 439-nucleotide long non-coding RNA is filed under the name Panax ginseng (ginseng). RNAcentral describes it as "long non-coding RNA (PGIN_LNC017081)". Lineage: Eukaryota; Viridiplantae; Streptophyta; Magnoliopsida; Apiales; Araliaceae. The record is from RNAcentral.
UCCCUUCUUAAAAUGGCGCGGUCCGCGCUAUAUAUGCAGCAUCUCUUCUCAACCCGGCGCGACCUGCGCCUUCUCCACACCAGGCAACGCGCGCCCCUUUAGCAGAAUAUCCAUUUCUUCAAUUAUUUCUCCCUCUUUUAGCUCCGAAGUCCCAUCCUUGCCUUUCUUCCUGUGAAGUGACACAAAAACCAUCAAAAGUAACAUGCAACGCUCGAUAACUGUCAAUAAUACUAAGCCUAAAUACCCCCAAAUUUAAGCAUUUAUUUGUCCUCAAGCAAUUUAACACAAUGUUAUACUACAAAAAAACAACCUUGAUGCAAAUGUGAACUAUACUCUACAAUCCUAUAAAUCUGGCAACAAAUUAGUAUGAAUAUUAGCAACAAGCCUCUGAGAUAUCCUUAAGAAACUCAAAUAGAACAUCUCAUCAAUGCAAACUGUG